UCCCUGGUGGCUCAGAGGUUAAAGCAUCUGCCUGCAAUGCGGGAGACCUGGGUUUGAUCCCUGGGUCGGGAA
Molecule: transfer RNA, 72 nt
Organism: Ovis aries (sheep)
Lineage: Eukaryota; Metazoa; Chordata; Mammalia; Artiodactyla; Bovidae
Rfam family: tRNA
About the family: Transfer RNA (tRNA) molecules are approximately 80 nucleotides in length. Their secondary structure includes four short double-helical elements and three loops (D, anti-codon, and T loops).
Source: Rfam